CCCCUUCUACCUAAAUCCUCUUCCUCCCUCACUAAUCAUCCCAAACCCAUCUUCAAACUAUUAAAACAAAAAAACCUCCCCCUCCCCAACGGAAUAUCGACCCUCCUCUCUGCUGCCACCACCAAGACUCUGCCAACCACCAUUUUCUCCGCUCAUUCUUCUCUGGUAAUGCCCUGGUCUUGUUAUUUCCCUUGUUAAUUGUUUUCCUAGACUAGUUUUUCUAUUUUCUUUCUUUUAAUUUCAGAGUUUAGGUGUCACUUUGGUUAGAGUUGGGUGUUAGUUGUAAGUGAAUCAUUUGGGUGGUAUAGGUUGAGAAGUUAGUCCAUGAUAAGUGUGGGGUGAAACCUGUUGAUUGGUAAGAUUGGGGAGUGGAUUUGGGGGACGCUUAUUCCAAAUAACCUUGAAA
RNAcentral lists this long non-coding RNA (406 nucleotides) under Nicotiana benthamiana. Its description in RNAcentral is "long non-coding RNA (NBEN_LNC026693)". Lineage: Eukaryota; Viridiplantae; Streptophyta; Magnoliopsida; Solanales; Solanaceae. The record is from RNAcentral.